RNAcentral lists this ribosomal RNA (253 nucleotides) under uncultured Eubacteriales bacterium. Its description in RNAcentral is "uncultured Clostridiales bacterium partial 16S ribosomal RNA". It matches the Rfam family "Bacterial small subunit ribosomal RNA", at positions 524 to 776 of the family's 1533-position model. Lineage: Bacteria; Bacillati; Bacillota; Clostridia; Eubacteriales. The record is from RNAcentral.
UACGUAGGUGGCAAGCGUUGUCCGGAUUUAUUGGGCGUAAAGCGAGCGCAGGCGGAAAGAUAAGUCUGAUGUGAAAGCCCCCGGCUUAACCGCGGAACUGCAUCUAAAACUGGUAAGCUGGAGUGCAGGAGAGGUGAGUGGAAUUCCUAGUGUAGCGGUGGAAUGCGUAGAUAUUAGGAGGAACACCAGAGGCGAAGGCGACUCACUGGACUGUAACUGACGCUGAGGCUCGAAAGCGUGGGGAGCAAACAGG